Prunus mume (Japanese apricot) is the source of this 288-nucleotide non-coding RNA. The record is from RefSeq and is a predicted model, not a curated record. Lineage: Eukaryota; Viridiplantae; Streptophyta; Magnoliopsida; Rosales; Rosaceae.
UUAGCCUGCUGUGACGAAGAAUUUAAUUCCAGGAACUUAGAGACUAACCUGUUUUCUGGAACUGUUCCUCAUGAGCUUGGGAAUUUGGUUAACUUGGAGAUUUUCAUUCUCCGUAAAAACAAUCUCACAGGAGAAUUGCCAGUGGCUUUCGCUAAUCUGACUAAAUUAAGAGAAUUUACGAUUAGCAGUAACAACUUCACGGGAAAAAUACCUGAUUAUUUGGAAAAUUUUAAACAACUUGAGAAAUUAGGGAUUUGUGCUAGUGGUCUCCGUGGGCCCAUUCCGUCC